This 407-nucleotide ribosomal RNA is filed under the name uncultured bacterium. RNAcentral's name for it is "partial 16S ribosomal RNA". It matches the Rfam family "Bacterial small subunit ribosomal RNA", at positions 28 to 526 of the family's 1533-position model. The record is from RNAcentral.
GACGAACGCUGGCGGCGUGCCUAAUACAUGCAAGUAGGACGCAGUUGCGAACGGGUGAGUAACGCGUAGGUAACUACCUAUUAUAGGGGGAUAACUAUUGGUAACGCUAGCUACUACCGCGUACUAGUAGAUGGACCUGCGUUGUAUUAGCUAGUAGGUAGGGUAAUGGCCUACCUAGGCAACGAUACAUAGCCUAACCUGGAUGGGGAUCAGCCACACUGGGAAUGGAGCAAGGGCCAGGCUCCUACGGGAGGGAAGAGGAGGGGAUCUUCGGAAAUGGGGGGAACGCUGACCGAGCAACGGCGGGGGAGUGAAGAAAGUUCUCGGAUCGUAAAGCUCUGUUGUUAAGGAAGCGGUACUUAACCAGAAAGCCACGGCUAACUACGUGCCAGCAGCCGCGGUAAUAC